UCCCAGGUAGUUAAAAUGCUGAAAAGGGAG
RNAcentral lists this non-coding RNA (30 nucleotides) under Rattus norvegicus (Norway rat). Lineage: Eukaryota; Metazoa; Chordata; Mammalia; Rodentia; Muridae. The record is from RNAcentral.